GUGCUGGCUUAGACAGCACAUAUACUAAAAUUUGAGCAACAUAGAGAAGAUUAGCAUGGCCCCUGCGAAAAGAUGACACAAAUUUGUGAAAUGUUCCAUAUUUUU
Small nuclear RNA from Alexandromys fortis (reed vole), 105 nucleotides. The record is from RefSeq and is a predicted model, not a curated record. Lineage: Eukaryota; Metazoa; Chordata; Mammalia; Rodentia; Cricetidae.